UACGGGGGGGGCAAGCGUUGUUCGGAAUUACUGGGCGUCAAGGGCUCGUAGGCGGCCAACUAAGUCGGACGUGAAAUCCCUCGGCUUAACCGGGGAACUGCGUCCGAUACUGGAUGGCUUGAGUUCGGGAGAGGGAUGCGGAAUUCCAGGUGUAGCGGUGAAAUGCGUAGAUAUCUGGAGGAACACCGGUGGCGAAGGCGGCAUCCUGGACCGACACUGACGCUGAGGAGCGAAAGCCAGGGGAGCAAACGGG
This 253-nucleotide ribosomal RNA is filed under the name uncultured bacterium. Its description in RNAcentral is "partial 16S ribosomal RNA". It matches the Rfam family "Bacterial small subunit ribosomal RNA", at positions 524 to 776 of the family's 1533-position model. The record is from RNAcentral.